Molecule: ribosomal RNA, 97 nt
Filed under: Enterococcus faecium
Lineage: Bacteria; Bacillati; Bacillota; Bacilli; Lactobacillales; Enterococcaceae
Also listed under: 1 other name
Description: partial 23S ribosomal RNA
Rfam family: Bacterial large subunit ribosomal RNA
Source: RNAcentral
GUUGAUAAGGUUAAGUGAAUAAGGGCGCACGGUGGAUGCCUUGGCACUAGGAGCCGAUGAAGGACGGGACUAACACCGAUAUGCUUUGGGGAGCUGU